Molecule: ribosomal RNA, 330 nt
Filed under: Triticum aestivum (bread wheat)
Lineage: Eukaryota; Viridiplantae; Streptophyta; Magnoliopsida; Poales; Poaceae
Description: partial small subunit ribosomal RNA
Source: RNAcentral
AUGGACUUCAUCGAAGCUCUACCAAAAUCUGAGGGCUAUACAGUGAUCUUAGUGGUGGUUGAUAGACUGACCAAGUAUGCUCAUUUUAUCCCCUUGAAACAUCCUUUCUCUGCUCCAGUGGUAGCGAAAGCAUUCCUACAUACUGUGGUCAAAUUGCAUGGACCACCCCAUACUAUAGUUUCCGAUAGGGACAAGAUCUUUACCAGUCACUUUUGGAAGGAUUUGUUCAAGCUUUGGGAUACUAAAUUGCUCAUGAGUACUGCCUAUCAUCCUCAAACAGAUGGGCAGAGUGAAAGAGUGAAUCAGUGUUUGGAGAUGUUUCUCAGAUGA